CGGCCCGACUGGCAGCACUGGUAUAGACCUCUUUGAUUUGCACUUUCAUUUAUUUUAUGGUUGACUAUUCCAUGAUUUCCCGCGAAAAAAAGUUUCGACCAAAUAAUCUUGACAUUAUAUAUGUAGUAGCAAAGAAUUGCUGAAGGCAAACAUGUUUGCACACGUAAAAUUUGAUGACGGCGCCAAAACUGUUGUGAGUACAUCGGAGAUAAAGAAUUUCGAUUCUGAAACAUCUAAUAGGGCGAAGAAGUACAAAGUUCGCUGAAGAAAGAUAAUGAAUUUUACGAUGCGAGUGUCAUCGAUGUAGAUGAAAAUAAGGAAGCACUUGAAGCAAAAAUCAGCAAUAAAAGGCCACAUAUUCCAUUCUUUGAAAAAUGUUUAUCGGCGUCGGAAAGCAAAUUAGAUUCCAAUUUUUUAGAAUACCAAUAUCAGUGAG
Trachymyrmex septentrionalis is the source of this 436-nucleotide long non-coding RNA. RefSeq lists it as uncharacterized. NCBI's taxonomy places the organism in Eukaryota, Metazoa, Arthropoda, Insecta, Hymenoptera, Formicidae. The record is from RefSeq and is a predicted model, not a curated record. The transcript has 3 exons.